This 222-nucleotide ribosomal RNA is filed under the name uncultured bacterium. Its description in RNAcentral is "partial 16S ribosomal RNA". It matches the Rfam family "Bacterial small subunit ribosomal RNA", at positions 1281 to 1500 of the family's 1533-position model. The record is from RNAcentral.
GCCAUUCUCAGUUCGGAUUGUAGGCUGAAACUCGCCUACAUGAAGCUGGAGUUACUAGUAAUCGCAGAUCAGAAUGCUGCGGUGAAUGCGUUCCCGGGUCUUGUACACACCGCCCGUCACACCACGGAAGUUGGGGGCGCCCGAAGCCACUUAGCUAACCCUUUUGGGAAGCGAGUGUCGAAGGUGAAAUCAAUAACUGGGGUGAAGUCGUAACAAGGUAGC